GAUGAACGCUGGCGGCGUGCCUAAUACAUGCAAGUCGAGCGAACGGACGAGAAGCUUGCUCCUCUGAUGUUAGCGGCGGACGGGUGAGUAACACGUGGAUAACCUACCUAUAAGACUGGGAUAACUUCGGGAAACCGGAGCUAAUACCGGAUGAUAUUUUGAACCGCAUGGUUCAAAAGUGAAAGACGGUCUUGCUGUCACUUAUAGAUGGAUCCGCGCUGCAUUAGCUAGUUGGUAAGGUAACGGCUUACCAAGGCAACGAUGCAUAGCCGACCUGAGAGGGUGAUCGGCCACACUGGAACUGAGACACGGUCCAGACUCCUACGGGAGGCAGCAGUAGGGAAUCUUCCGCAAUGGGCGAAAGCCUGACGGAGCAACGCCGCGUGAGUGAUGAAGGUCUUCGGAUCGUAAAACUCUGUUAUUAGGGAAGAACAUAUGUGUAAGUAACUGUGCACAUCUUGACGGUACCUAAUCAGAAAGCCACGGCUAACUACGUG
This 497-nucleotide ribosomal RNA is filed under the name uncultured bacterium. Its description in RNAcentral is "partial 16S ribosomal RNA". It matches the Rfam family "Bacterial small subunit ribosomal RNA", at positions 28 to 507 of the family's 1533-position model. The record is from RNAcentral.